RNAcentral lists this ribosomal RNA (232 nucleotides) under uncultured bacterium. RNAcentral's name for it is "partial 16S ribosomal RNA". It matches the Rfam family "Bacterial small subunit ribosomal RNA", at positions 104 to 334 of the family's 1533-position model. The record is from RNAcentral.
CGGGGUGGAGUAAUGUCUGGGAAACGUGCCUGAUGGAGGGGGAUAACUGCUGGAAACGGUAGCUAAUACCGCAUAACGUCGCAAGACCAAAGAGGGGGACCGUUCGGGCCUCUUGCCAUCGGAUGUGCCCAGAUGGGAUUAGCUAGUAGGUGGGGUAACGGCUCACCUAGGCGACGAUCCCUAGCUGGUCUGAGAGGAUGGCCAGCCACACUGGAACUGAGACACGGUCCAG